CACCAGGUUGAUUCUGCCUGACGUAGACGCUAUACUCUAAGAUUAACCCAUGCAUGUUUAUUGAAUAUAAAGAAAAGACGAACAGCUCAGUAACUCUUAUUUGAUUUGAUGUAUUAGGAUUCUAACUAUGUUAAAUUAUAGGUAACAAUAAUACAAUAAGAAUAAGAUCUAUCAGUUAGUUGUUAAGGUAAUGGCUUAACAAGACUAUGACGGAUAACGGUAUUACUUUGUAAUAUUCCGGAGAAGGAGCCUGAGAGAUUGCUACUAAGUCUAAGGAUUGCAGCAGGGGCGAAACUUGACCUAUGAUAUUAUAUUGAGGCAGUUAUGAGUAGUAUUUUAUAAUUAUUGUAGUAUUGUAAGUACAUAUUACAAGAUAAAUCGGAGGGCAAAUCGAGUGCCAGCAGCCGCGGUAAUACUUGUUCCGAUAGUGUGUAUGAUGAUUGAUGCAGUUAAAAAGUCUGUAGUUUAUUUUAUAAUAAGCAUUGUAAGGUAUACUGUAUGGUUAGGAGAGAGAUGAAAUGUGAUAACCCUAACUGGAUGAACAGAAGCGAAAGCUGUAUACUUAAAUGUAUUAUUAGAACAAGGACGUAAGCUAGAG
Molecule: ribosomal RNA, 598 nt
Filed under: Nosema bombycis
Lineage: Eukaryota; Fungi; Microsporidia; Nosematidae
Description: SSU rRNA
Rfam family: Microsporidia small subunit ribosomal RNA
Source: RNAcentral